GCCCUGGUGAUUCUGUGGUAGAAUGCUCACCUUUCAUGAUGGAGACCCAGGUUCAAUUCCUGGCCAGUGCA
Molecule: transfer RNA, 71 nt
Filed under: Loxodonta africana (African savanna elephant)
Lineage: Eukaryota; Metazoa; Chordata; Mammalia; Proboscidea; Elephantidae
Rfam family: tRNA
About the family: Transfer RNA (tRNA) molecules are approximately 80 nucleotides in length. Their secondary structure includes four short double-helical elements and three loops (D, anti-codon, and T loops).
Source: Rfam by way of RNAcentral